UGCCAGACUCCUACGGGAGGCAGCAGUGGGGAAUAUUGCACAAUGGGGGGAACCCUGAUCCAGCGACGCCGCGUGAGUGAAGAAGUAUUUCGGUAUGUAAAGCUCUCUCAGCAGGGAAGAAAGAAAUGACGGUACCUGACUAAGAAGCCCCGGCUAACUACGUGCCAGCAGCCGCGGUAAUACGUGGGGGGCAAGCGUUAUCCGGAUUUACUGGGCGUAAAGGGAGCGUAGACGGCGAUGCAAGUCUGAAGUGAAAGGCGGGGGCCCAACCCCCGGACUGCUUUGGAAACUGUAUGGCUGGAGUGCAGGAGAGGUAAGUGGAAUUCCUAGUGUAGCGGUGAAAUGCGUAGAUAUUAGGAGGAACACCGGCGGCGAAGGCGGCCUGCUGGACCGCGACUGACGUUGAGGCUCGAAAGCGUGGGGAGCGAACAGGAUUAGAUACCCGAGUAC
Molecule: ribosomal RNA, 450 nt
Filed under: uncultured bacterium
Lineage: Bacteria
Description: bacterial SSU rRNA
Rfam family: Bacterial small subunit ribosomal RNA
Source: RNAcentral